RNAcentral lists this ribosomal RNA (497 nucleotides) under uncultured bacterium. RNAcentral's name for it is "partial 16S ribosomal RNA". It matches the Rfam family "Bacterial small subunit ribosomal RNA", at positions 28 to 507 of the family's 1533-position model. The record is from RNAcentral.
GAUGAACGCUGGCGGCGUGCCUAAUACAUGCAAGUCGAGCGAACGGACGAGAAGCUUGCUUUUCUGAUGUUAGCGGCGGACGGGUGAGUAACACGUGGAUAACCUACCUAUAAGACUGGGAUAACUUCGGGAAACCGGAGCUAAUACCGGAUAAUAUUUUGAACCGCAUGGUUCAAAAGUGAAAGACGGUCUUGCUGUCACUUAUAGAUGGAUCCGCGCUGCAUUAGCUAGUUGGUAAGGUAACGGCUUACCAAGGCAACGAUGCAUAGCCGACCUGAGGGGGUGAUCGGCCACACUGGAACUGAGACACGGUCCAGACUCCUACGGGAGGCAUCAGUAGGGAAUCUUCCGCAAUGGGCGAAAGCCUGACGGAGCAACGCCGCGUGAGUGAUGAAGGUCUUCGGAUCGUAAAACUCUGUUAUUAGGGAAGAACAUAUGUGUAAGUAACUGUGCACACCUUGACGGUACCUAAUCAGAAAGCCACGGCUAACUACGUG